GAUGAACGCUGGCGGCGUGCUUAACACAUGCAAGUCGAACGGAAUUAACCUCUGUCAAAGCUUCGGCAGAGACCUGGUUAACUUAGUGGCGGACGGGUGAGUAACGCGUGGGUAACCUGCCAUACACAGGGGGAUAACACUUAGAAAUAGGUGCUAAUACCGCAUAACCCGCUAAGGUCGCAUGACCUGGACGGAAAAGAUUUAUCGGUACGAGAUGGACCCGCGUCUGAUUAGCUAGAUGGCGGGGUAACGGCCCACCAUGGCAACGAUGUCUAGGGGUUCUGAGAGGAAGGUCCCCCANACUGGAACUGAGACACGGUCCAGACUCCUACGGGAGGCAGCAGUGAGGAAUAUUGGUCAAUGGGCGGAGCCUGAACCAGCCAAGUAGCGUGAAGGAUGACUGCCCUACGGGUUGUAAACUUCUUUUGUUUGGGAAUUAAAAGACGCUACGUGUAGCGUUCUGCAUGUACCUUACGAAUAAGCAUCGGCUAAUUCCGU
This 498-nucleotide ribosomal RNA is filed under the name uncultured bacterium. Its description in RNAcentral is "bacterial SSU rRNA". It matches the Rfam family "Bacterial small subunit ribosomal RNA", at positions 28 to 506 of the family's 1533-position model. The record is from RNAcentral.